Hordeum vulgare subsp. vulgare (domesticated barley) is the source of this 1471-nucleotide long non-coding RNA. RefSeq lists it as uncharacterized. Lineage: Eukaryota; Viridiplantae; Streptophyta; Magnoliopsida; Poales; Poaceae. The transcript has 2 exons. The record is from RefSeq and is a predicted model, not a curated record.
GUUACUCUAUUUUAGAUUAGUAGUAAUCCUUCUCUAUGUGACAUACUUGCUUGGUUACUAUGGAGAAGUGCCUUCUUUCAAGGAGUUGUAGAUUUUUUUAAUAUGCUCCCGGUUGGACACUUUUGGGGCAGGUAAGAGUGCAACUUAGUUUUCGGCUCAGGCCUCACUAGCAAUUAUGCCAUCCUCUUAUUUGGUUGCAGGUUACUUGCCUUCUUCUUUCAACCCAUCUCAAGAAUUAUAGUGCAGUUUCUGUGGGGCAGGUUAAAGAGCCCAUGUUAGUUUUUUUCAUAUGAGUACUCCUUUAUUAUUUAUCAACUGAGGCAUGAUUGCUGUGUGCACUUCUGACCGAAGAUGAUCCUGUUGUUAUUUGCUUUCAGAAAAGAAAGAGACGGCUCCAUGUGCGCUUGUUAUCAUUACAUCAAAUGGAAUAAUCAAAUAGGGUUAUAUAUUAUCAUAUCUGUAUACAUAAUAUUUUCUAUAUAAUUAUUUACUGGUGUAGGCUCCUGUUGUUAGAUAGUGAGCUUAUGUUAUUUUAUGCCAUGUAGUUAAAUUUAUGUGCACCUUCUCAAGUGUUUGCUUGUUUCUGCUUUUAUAGUAUGGCUUGGUAGACCGAGGGCCUUUUGUGGAAAAAGAUCCUGAUAUGUUCAACCAUGCCGUUUUUUUCUUAAUUCGAUGACCUAUUAAUGUGUUUUGAGCAUGAGGCAAUUGUUUUCUCAAAUAUAGUUACUCUAUUUUAGAUUAGUAGUAAUCCUUCUCUAUGUUUCUGCAAUUUCAAUUCCUGAUGUUUUCUGCACAUCCCUCUUGUUAUAGUCAGCAAGACAAGAAGAACAUACUUGUGUAUGAGUUCAUGCACAACGAAAAGGAGCGCCUUAGCCGAUGUUAAAUUUGCUGUGUGGAAUCAACAGCACGCUGUUGUAUAGACACCUAUGAUUCUUUUGCAGUAAAACUUUGUCUCUGCAGUUGUAUUUUGGAUCUUUAGAACUGCAGGGUAUGCUUAGUUUUUAUAUUUGCUGAUUCAGGUUGUCUUAGCCUGCAGCACUCCGUCUAGGCUACUGCGUAGCCCAUUUCCUUUGAAGAGGGUACAUCCAAAUGAAAACUUGGAAUUACCUAAUAGGUGCAUACAUGAACUAUUGAUGGUGUGAAUAGAAAACACCGGCAAUGGCACAGACGCUUGGCGACCUUCAUGUCGUGCCUCCAAGGCAGGCCACGAGCAAUGGCCCCCGUGAGGUCAGCCUUGCAAGGAAAUAGGGCAAGGCCGCUGCCAAUUAUUCAAGAUACACAUAGUUUGCGUUUGUUGUUUACAGGUGUUGAUAAUACGGUGAGUGGUUGAAGGGGAACUGGGGAAGCAUGAGGAGAAGGGCAGUACAGAGGGUGGAAUGAGCAUGUGACUUGUAUGGAAUGAACAAAUUUUCUUUUAAAUGAUUUGAGUGUAUGCUGAUACGUGCAAGUCAAUCAUAUGAAUUCCCAACUA